CGCGUAUGCAACCUACCCAUAACAGGGGCAUAACACUGAGAAAUUGGUACUAAUUCCCCAUAACAUUCGAAGAGGCAUCUCUUUGGGUUGAAAACUCCGGUGGUUAUGGAUGGGCAUGCGUUGUAUUAGCUAGUUGGUGAGGUAACGGCUCACCAAGGCGACGAUACAUAGGGGGACUGAGAGGUUAACCCCCCACAUUGGUACUGAGACACGGACCAAACUCCUACGGGAGGCAGCAGUGAGGAAUAUUGGUCAAUGGACGCAAGUCUGAACCAGCCAUGCCGCGUGCAGGAUGACGGCUCUAUGAGUUGUAAACUGCUUUUGUACGAGGGUAAACUCACCUACGUGUGGGUGACUGAAAGUAUCGUACGAAUAAGGAUCGGCUAACUCCGUGCCAGCAGCCGCGGUAAUACGGAGGAUUCAAGCGUUAUCCGGAUUUAUUGGGUUUAAAGGGUGCGUAGGCGGUUAGAUAAGUUAGAGGUGAAAUCCCGGGGCUUAACUCCGAAAUUGCCUCUAAUACUGUUUGACUAGAGAGUAGUUGCGGUAGGCGGAAUGUAUGGUGUAGCGGUGAAAUGCUUAGAGAUCAUACAGAACACCGAUUGCGAAGGCAGCUUACCAAACUAUAUCUGACGUUGAGGCACGAAAGCGUGGGGAGCAAACAGGAUUAGAUACCCUGGUAGUCCACGCAGUAAACGAUGAUAACUCGCUGUCGGCGAUACACAGUCGGUGGCUAAGCGAAAGCGAUAAGUUAUCCACCUGGGGAGUACGUUCGCAAGAAUGAAACUCAAAGGAAUUGACGGGGGCCCGCACAAGCGGAGGAACAUGUGGUUUAAUUCGAUGAUACGCGAGGAACCUUACCCGGGCUUGAAAGUUAGCGACGGAUCUGGAAACAGGUCUUCCCUUCGGGGCGCGAAACUAGGUGCUGCAUGGUUGUCGUCAGCUUGUGCCGUGAGGUGUCGGGUUAAGUCCCAUAACGAGCGCAACCCCUACCGUUAGUUGCCAUCAGGUGAAGCUGGGCACUCUGGCGGGACUGCCGGUGUAAGCCGAGAGGAAGGUGGGGA
This 1061-nucleotide ribosomal RNA is filed under the name uncultured bacterium. RNAcentral's name for it is "bacterial SSU rRNA". It matches the Rfam family "Bacterial small subunit ribosomal RNA", at positions 114 to 1179 of the family's 1533-position model. The record is from RNAcentral.